Molecule: RNase P RNA, 149 nt
Filed under: Methanoregula sp.
Lineage: Archaea; Methanobacteriati; Methanobacteriota; Methanomicrobia; Methanomicrobiales; Methanoregulaceae
Description: partial RNase P RNA component
Rfam family: Archaeal RNase P
About the family: Ribonuclease P (RNase P) is a ubiquitous endoribonuclease, found in archaea, bacteria and eukarya as well as chloroplasts and mitochondria. Its best characterised activity is the generation of mature 5'-ends of tRNAs by cleaving the 5'-leader elements of precursor-tRNAs.
Source: RNAcentral
GAGAGGGAGAGAGCGGCCGACGGUGACAUAACAGUCGCUGAGGAAAGUCCCCCCACCCCCCGGGCACGCAGCCGUACGCAAGUACGGGUGGCGAGAGUCACGGCAAUGGAACAGAAACGACACGGCCUGUUUUCAGUCAUGAUGCGGUU